Molecule: ribosomal RNA, 103 nt
Filed under: Periophthalmus magnuspinnatus
Lineage: Eukaryota; Metazoa; Chordata; Actinopteri; Gobiiformes; Gobiidae
Source: RNAcentral
UUAAACAACCAUACCCGCUUUAUAUCGUCAGAUCUUGGAAGCUAAACAAGGUUGGGCCAGGUAAGUCCUUCAAUGGGAGACCUCUGGGAAUACCAGCUGCAAC